Long non-coding RNA from Pseudoliparis swirei, 618 nucleotides. RefSeq lists it as uncharacterized. The transcript is spliced from 2 exons. The record is from RefSeq and is a predicted model, not a curated record. Lineage: Eukaryota; Metazoa; Chordata; Actinopteri; Perciformes; Liparidae.
CAGCCUCGCCCUCGACCUCCAUGAAGAUCCAGACUCUUUCUUCAAGGAGUAUCUGAUGCAGAGAGGGAACUUGCAAACACCGUCAUGGGGAUUGGCUUCACCCGAAGAGAUGGGGACCAGAGGACGUGGGAGUCGCGAUGGAAGUCAUUAAAGUCCUAAACGGCGUGGACGGUGUCAUCGUGGCGUUCAUCAUGUUUGGGCUCAUUUGUGCCCUUGAGCUAAGCUUCAGACAACUCCAAGGUCACCUUCCAGAAGGUCAUCAUGAAGAUGGGCACAAGCUGAAUUAAAGAUGCAGCAGCUGAACGUCAAGUUGUCUGCAUGACUCACAGUGAAUAAGUCCAGUCCAGUUGCUUUUCUCUUUGAGUUCGCUGGGUGUUGCAGGUGAACCGUUUCCAGGUGAGGAACACCUCUUAAAAUGUUCUUUAAAAAUGUUAACACCUUUCAUCUGUGUAUUGAAGAUCAAUUGAGAUGUAUUGUCACUGACUUCCUGAUCAGUCCGUUUAUUAUUUUCUAUUUGUUAAAUAUAUAUAUAUUUUAAAUGCAGUCGUACAAGUGAUUUCGUCAGUUUUGACCACGUUAAAGCUAUUUAAAGAAUUUGUAAUAAAAACCUGAACUGUG